Molecule: non-coding RNA, 68 nt
Organism: Trichonephila inaurata madagascariensis
Lineage: Eukaryota; Metazoa; Arthropoda; Arachnida; Araneae; Nephilidae
Source: the annotation of a GenBank genome assembly
GUCGCUCAGCCAGUAGGGUGGCUCGGCUUGUAACCGAGUGGGUUCGGGUUCGAAUCCCGAGUCAGACA